CUUAACCCUCGUGGAUGAGUGGUGUGGGUAAUCUAUGAAUAUUCACAAUCACAGUUUUGGGGAGGUCAUUGGUAUGGAGGCUGCUGUUGUGAGCUUUAAACUUGGUUGAAGUAUUAGAUAAACAGCAGCACCGCAGUAGUGGUGCAGUCAGACUCCCAGGUCAUCCAAUGGUGGANGGUGGAGUUAUCUUAAUGCUAAUUAUUGUCAAAAUGUUGUUUUACUAUUUUAUUUCCACCGCCAUUCGGAUACUGUUUUUAACAUUUGGUCACAACAAAGCUCGAUGCUGGUCCUCGCCCAUUUAGUACCACCUGAGCCAAGGCGACAGAGAAAUCUCUUCGCAACUAAGCAUUGGUCCCAAAUUAUUCAAAAUGUUUCUUAGUAGUGUUCAUCAUUUGAACGUGACAAGGGAUAUCUUAUAUACUUGAAUACCAGACGAGUGUCUCUUU
RNAcentral lists this unclassified non-coding RNA (446 nucleotides) under Hevea brasiliensis (rubber tree). The record is from RNAcentral. Lineage: Eukaryota; Viridiplantae; Streptophyta; Magnoliopsida; Malpighiales; Euphorbiaceae.